RNAcentral lists this transfer RNA (73 nucleotides) under Bos taurus (domestic cattle). It matches the Rfam family "tRNA". From Rfam's summary of the family: Transfer RNA (tRNA) molecules are approximately 80 nucleotides in length. Their secondary structure includes four short double-helical elements and three loops (D, anti-codon, and T loops). Further hydrogen bonds mediate the characteristic L-shaped molecular structure. tRNAs have two regions of fundamental functional importance: the anti-codon, which is responsible for specific mRNA codon recognition, and the 3' end, to which the tRNAs corresponding amino acid is attached (by aminoacyl-tRNA synthetases). tRNAs cope with the degeneracy of the genetic code in two manners: having more than one tRNA (with a specific anti-codon) for a particular amino acid; and 'wobble' base-pairing, i.e. permitting non-standard base-pairing at the 3rd anti-codon position. RNAcentral also lists the same sequence under 5 other names. Lineage: Eukaryota; Metazoa; Chordata; Mammalia; Artiodactyla; Bovidae. The record is from Rfam by way of RNAcentral.
UCCCUGGUGGUCUAGUGGCUAAGACUCUGUGCUCCCAAUUCAACAGGCCCGGGUUCAAUCCCUAGUCAGGGAA